AUGAAGUCAACGGCGUCGAGAUCUGGUGACCACGGGGAAGAUCCCCGACCGACGUGCCACAAAGUCUCGGUCUUGUCACUUGCGGCGGCCUGGUUCAUCGGCUCGAAAAACAUCUUUGUAUGUGACUGUGCUCUCCCGGAUCUCGGUAUGGCGGUUGUUCUUCUCUUUUUUCGGCGUUGCCAUGAUGACGACGGAGGAGUUCAUGGACUAUGUUUCGGCGAGGCACAAGUUUCUUCAAGGGUGGAAUAGUAAUUUUAUUUCUUACGGAAUGCUUUGUGCAAAGUUGCUUGA
Molecule: ribosomal RNA, 291 nt
Filed under: Triticum aestivum (bread wheat)
Lineage: Eukaryota; Viridiplantae; Streptophyta; Magnoliopsida; Poales; Poaceae
Description: partial small subunit ribosomal RNA
Source: RNAcentral